GUUUUGGGUAGAGCACUUUUGCUGGUUUCUGGCAUGUUCUCAAGCAUUGAAGAUUCAUAUGUCAGAGGAACAUUGCGAAUUUUUACAAGAUUGCAGAAAAAGGGAAUGAAGUCAAAUCAAGCCGGUCCAUCAAAUAUGAUAUUGGCGGAGCAAAUUCUUGUUUCUCCACUGCUGCAAUGGUCACAGGAUAUAGAGGCACAUGUCGAAAAUACACGCGGAGAGCCCCACAUUGUAUGCGAGUCAUCAGUUUUUGGUGCGGGAAAGUACAGUAUCAUCUUUAACGGAGUAAUACUUGCUUCCAGUGUCUCAUUUAUUG
Molecule: long non-coding RNA, 316 nt
Organism: Armigeres subalbatus
Lineage: Eukaryota; Metazoa; Arthropoda; Insecta; Diptera; Culicidae
Exons: 3
Source: RefSeq, a predicted model, not a curated record